This is a long non-coding RNA of Cucumis sativus (cucumber), 1705 nucleotides long. RefSeq lists it as uncharacterized. Lineage: Eukaryota; Viridiplantae; Streptophyta; Magnoliopsida; Cucurbitales; Cucurbitaceae. The record is from RefSeq and is a predicted model, not a curated record. The transcript is spliced from 2 exons.
UUCUCUUUCUCCUCCCUUCUCUUUUCUUCUCUCUCCCUUCUCCUUCUCCUUUCCUUUCCCCUUUUUACCCUUUUUUUUAUGUCUUUCUUCACAUAUCUAAUAAGAAGGAAAGUAGAGACACACCGUGCUACCAUUAGGGUUUAGGAUUUGACAUCAAGGAUGUCGUAGUUGCCGUUGAUUUUGGAAAACUGCGUGUGAUGGUUAACCAAGUGAAUAGAUUUAUUUGUUUGUUUAUUUUCCAUUUAGCUCUGUAGAUUUUGUCUUUAUUUUAUGAUUUUAUGAUGAAUCUAAGUUUUUGUUCCAAUUAAUCAAAUGUUGUAUCUUUGAUUUUUUCUGUUAUGCUUAGCUUACAUGGUAAAAAUGGUAAGACUUACACUUUGAAAAAAAUGUUUGUAAAGCUAGAGUUUAGUUUUUGCAUUUUUGACUUUGAAUGAAUUUAAAAGUAAUACUAAUUUCAAAAUACUGUUUUUUGGGAAAGCUCUCCGUGGAUACAUAAUACAUUCCAUUUAGUAAUGGAAGGUAUUUUUUUUAAAAAAAACUAUAGUAACUCUUAAUGGACAAGAUUAAACGUUGGGAGAUCCUACACACAUCUUCCGACGCCGUAAUCUUGUGCGUUGGGAGAUCCACUCUUGACACAUUUUGUCCAACUUUGAUCUCGCUGCACGUUUAUGCGUCAGAAUAUCCUUUCUCGGCGCUUUUUCUUUUAUCUCUCAACGAUUUUGUGCAUUGAGCGAUACCCUUUUCUUUGAGUAUAGAUAGAUAGUUCAUUUUUCAUUUUUGUGGGUGUGUGAUAUAUUCUGGGCCAUUGUGAAAGAAUCUGUAUUGUCAUCCCUAACCUUCAUUCUCUUUAUCUUUAGGUCAGCGUUUAAAUUAAGAGUUGUUGUCACACUUUGCCCCGCAUCUGUCCAAAAAAAUUGCAAAGUGGUUAAGACGAGACGCGAGGAUGGUCAGCUUAGAUCCUUAAGCUUAGCUUAAAUAAGGCCGAUGAUUGGACACUUAAGCUUAAACUCACCCUUAAGAUAGGAUGGACCUCCGACUCGCUAUUUGUUGUCAUGCUCCCAUCCAUUUCACAUUUUUCUCGAGAAUUCUGAUGGCUUGAGCCCGAACUAGAUCCUUACACUCCGAAGAUUACUCAGACCCAUCAAGAACUUUAUUUUAAGUUAAUUCAGAUGUCUCUACUUCUGAUUGCGCUCGAUAUCUUUACGAUGAUCUGUAUUUCGAAACUAUGUAAAAAGAUUCUGAAGCUCCCUGAUAUUUUGGACCCUCAAAUUGGUUCUACCAAAUUGGAGAAAUGUUUUCUUUUAAGGACAAGGGUUUUAUGCCAAUCAAAGCAAGGUUUAAAGUCAUUCAAUCUAACCCAUGGAUUUCCUUUUUUGGUCUUACAGAGUAAACACACUUUAACGUUGCAACGUUUCCAGGGAAGUCAAGGAGAAACGAUGGGAGGGAGCGCAUAUAAUAAACCCUAAACCAUAUGAAUAAGAAAAGAAAUUUUUCUUUAAAACUUAUAAGCUAAAAGGUGGUUGGAGCAAGAGUCGUGCAUGUGUGUGAUGUGAGGCUGUGAGCAUCAUCUAUACGUUCCUUUGCCUGUUGAAUAUCAAGCUUCAGAUGUACAAAUAGUGGUAAAUGAAAAUCUAGUUAAUUUUCUUCUUAAAUCUUUGUACAUUAACUUGAGAUGAGAUUUAAACAUUUUUCUCCUUUGACAUUA